This 254-nucleotide ribosomal RNA is filed under the name uncultured bacterium. Its description in RNAcentral is "partial 16S ribosomal RNA". It matches the Rfam family "Bacterial small subunit ribosomal RNA", at positions 524 to 776 of the family's 1533-position model. The record is from RNAcentral.
UACGGAUGGUGCGAGCGUUGUCCGGAAUCAUUGGGCGUAAAGGGCGCGUAGGUGGCCCGGUCAGUUCGUGGUGAAAGCGCGGGGCUCAACCCUGCGUCGGCCAUGAAUACUGCCGCGGCUGGAGCACUGUAGAGGCAGGCGGAAUUCCGGGUGUAGCGGUGGAAUGCGUAGAGAUCCGGAAGAACACCGGUGGCGAAGGCGGCCUGCUGGGCAGUUGCUGACACUGAGGCGCGACAGCGUGGGGAGCAAACAGG